Molecule: ribosomal RNA, 550 nt
Filed under: uncultured bacterium
Lineage: Bacteria
Description: bacterial SSU rRNA
Rfam family: Bacterial small subunit ribosomal RNA
Source: RNAcentral
UAGGGAAUCUUCGGCAAUGGACGGAAGUCUGACCGAGCAACGCCGCGUGAGUGAAGAAGGUUUUCGGAUCGUAAAGCUCUGUUGUAAGAGAAGAACGAGUGUGAGAGUGGAAAGUUCACACUGUGACGGUAUCUUACCAGAAAGGGACGGCUAACUACGUGCCAGCAGCCGCGGUAAUACGUAGGUCCCGAGCGUUGUCCGGAUUUAUUGGGCGUAAAGCGAGCGCAGGCGGUUAGAUAAGUCUGAAGUUAAAGGCUGUAGCUUAACCAUAGUAGGCUUUGGAAACUGUUUAACUUGAGUGCAAGAGGGGAGAGUGGAAUUCCAUGUGUAGCGGUGAAAUGCGUAGAUAUAUGGAGGAACACCGGUGGCGAAAGCGGCUCUCUGGCUUGUAACUGACGCUGAGGCUCGAAAGCGUGGGGAGCAAACAGGAUUAGAUACCCUGGUAGUCCACGCUGUAAACGAUGAGUGCUAGGUGUUAGACCCUUUCCGGGGUUUAGUGCCGUAGCUAACGCAUUAAGCACUCCGCCUGGGGAGUACGACCGCAAGGUUG